Apis dorsata (giant honeybee) is the source of this 414-nucleotide long non-coding RNA. RefSeq lists it as uncharacterized. The transcript has 3 exons. NCBI's taxonomy places the organism in Eukaryota, Metazoa, Arthropoda, Insecta, Hymenoptera, Apidae. The record is from RefSeq and is a predicted model, not a curated record.
AGAGAGAGAGAGAGAGAGAAAUACAGAGAGAGGGAGAGAGAGGAAAAGAAAUAGGGAAAGAAAUAGAGAGAGAAGGAGAGAAUUCAACGACGAGGAUUCACUGUAGUACGCCGGAAGUACGCCGAUCCUCCAAUUUGCGCAUCAAAGAUCACGCGUAUUAAUCGUAAAUCGCGUCCGGGUUUUCCACCAAAAAAACAAAAUUCACCAACUCACUCGAAUUUGCUCGUUCGUUCUCGUUUAUAACCUCGAAACGAAGCCACGAUAUUCAAUGGCGUCACCGUUCGCGCACGCACAGGGUGAAAGAACACAAGUUUGAAAGAAACGACGACGUGGGGUACGACGUACACGCACGUGGACCGCGCAAAGGUGCCGUCAAAAUUCGUGUGUGAGGAUGGAACUCGCGAUGGAAAGAGA